AGUAGCCGCGGGAAUACGUAGGGUGCAAGCGUUGUCCGGAAUUAUUGGGCGUAAAGAGCUCGUAGGCGGUUUGUCGCGUCUGCUGUGAAAUCCCGAGGCUCAACCUCGGGCUUGCAGUGGGUACGGGCAGACUAGAGUGCGGUAGGGGAGAUUGGAAUUCCUGGUGUAGCGGUGGAAUGCGCAGAUAUCAGGAGGAACACCGAUGGCGAAGGCAGAUCUCUGGGCCGUAACUGACGCUGAGGAGCGAAAGCGUGGGGAGCGAACAGGAUUAGAUACCCCAGUAGUCCCUGUCUCUUAUACA
RNAcentral lists this ribosomal RNA (301 nucleotides) under uncultured bacterium. Its description in RNAcentral is "partial 16S ribosomal RNA". It matches the Rfam family "Bacterial small subunit ribosomal RNA", at positions 510 to 808 of the family's 1533-position model. The record is from RNAcentral.